This 336-nucleotide unclassified non-coding RNA is filed under the name soil metagenome. RNAcentral's name for it is "partial contains 5.8S ribosomal RNA, internal transcribed spacer 2, and large subunit ribosomal RNA". The stretch from base 1 to 120 matches the Rfam family "5.8S ribosomal RNA", at positions 35 to 154 of the family's 154-position model. The record is from RNAcentral.
GAUGAAGAACGCAGCGAAAUGCGAUAAGUAAUGUGAAUUGCAGAAUUCCGUGAAUCAUCGAAUCUUUGAACGCAUAUUGCGCCCUCUGGUAUUCCGGAGGGCAUGCCUGUCCGAGCGUCAUUACUACCUUCAAGCCCCCGGCUUGUGUUGGGGACCUGCGGCUGCCGCAGGCCCUGAAAAGCAGUGGCGGGCUCGCUGUCACACCGAGCGUAGUAGCAUACAUCUCGCUCUGGGCGUGCUGCGGGUUCCGGCCGUUAAACCACCUUCAUAACCCAAGGUUGACCUCGGAUCAGGUAGGAAGACCCGCUGAACUUAAGCAUAUCAAUAAGCGGAGGA